Non-coding RNA from Araneus ventricosus, 73 nucleotides. The record is from the annotation of a GenBank genome assembly. NCBI's taxonomy places the organism in Eukaryota, Metazoa, Arthropoda, Arachnida, Araneae, Araneidae.
UGACCUGACGGGAUUUGAAAUACGUCAACCUUCUGAUCUGGAGUCAGACGCGCUACCGUUGCGCCACCGAGUC